CCCUUAGAUGUUCUGGGCCGCACGCGCGCUACACUGACUGGUUCAUCGAGCUUACAACCUUGACUGAUAGGUUUGGGUAAUCUUUUGAAAGCCAGUCGUGAUGGGGAUAGAUUAUUGUAAUUUUUAAUCUUCAACGAGGAAUUCCUAGUAAACGCAAGUCAUCAACUUGCAUUGAUUACGUCCCUGCCCUUUGUACACACCGCCCGUCGCUACUACCGAUUGAAUGGUUUAGUGAGGACUCCUGAUUGGCGCCGCCGCCCCGGCAACGGAGCAGCGGACUGCCGAAAAGUUGUUCAAACUUGAUCAUUUAGAGGAAGUAAAAGUCGUAACA
RNAcentral lists this ribosomal RNA (331 nucleotides) under uncultured eukaryote. RNAcentral's name for it is "partial 18S ribosomal RNA". It matches the Rfam family "Eukaryotic small subunit ribosomal RNA", at positions 1470 to 1796 of the family's 1831-position model. The record is from RNAcentral.